CCAAUAGCGUAUAUUAAAGUUGUUGCAGUUAAAAAGCUCGUAGUUGAAUUUCGGGGUCAGUAGGUCGGUCGUGCCACUGGUAUGAACUGGUUUCACUGAUUCCUCCCUCUUGUAGAACCGUGAUGCCAUUAAUUUGGUGUUGCGGGGAAACAGGACUGUUACUUUGAAAAAAUUAGAGUGUUUAAAGCAAGCUAACGCUUGAAUACAUUAGCAUGGAAUAAUGAAAUAGGACGUCGAUCUUAUUUUGUUGGUUUCUAGGGUUGACGUAAUGAUUAAUAGGGAUAGUUGGGGGCAUUAGUAUUCAAUUGUCAGAGGUGAAAUUCUUGGAUUUAUUGAAGACUAACUACUGCGAAAGCAUUUGCCAAGGAUGUUUUCAUUAAUCAAGAACGAAAGUUAGGGGAUCGAAGGCGAUCAGAUACCGUCGUAGUCUUAACCAUAAACUAUGCCGACUAGGGAUCGGAUGAUGUUAAUUUUUUAAUGACUCAUUCGGCGCCUUACG
RNAcentral lists this ribosomal RNA (499 nucleotides) under uncultured Glomeromycotina. RNAcentral describes it as "partial small subunit ribosomal RNA". It matches the Rfam family "Eukaryotic small subunit ribosomal RNA", at positions 591 to 1092 of the family's 1831-position model. The record is from RNAcentral. Lineage: Eukaryota; Fungi; Glomeromycota.